This 237-nucleotide ribosomal RNA is filed under the name uncultured Staphylococcus sp. Its description in RNAcentral is "partial 16S ribosomal RNA". It matches the Rfam family "Bacterial small subunit ribosomal RNA", at positions 103 to 334 of the family's 1533-position model. Lineage: Bacteria; Bacillati; Bacillota; Bacilli; Caryophanales; Staphylococcaceae. The record is from RNAcentral.
CGGGUGAGUAGCACGUGGAUAACCCACCUAUAAGACUGGGAUAACUUCGGGAAACCGGAGCUAAUACCGGAUAAUAUAUUGAACCGCAUGGUUCAAUAGUGAAAGACGGUUUUGCUGUCACUUAUAGAUGGAUCCGCGCCGCAUUAGCUAGUUGGUAAGGUAACGGCUUACCAAGGCGACGAUGCGUAGCCGACCUGAGAGGGUGAUCGGCCACACUGGAACUGAGACACGGUCCAG